UCAAGUUAUUAAGGGUGCAGGGCGGAUGCCUUGGCACCGGGAGCCGAUGAAGGACGUGAUAAGCUGCGAUAAGCUAUGGGGAGUUGCACGUAAACUUUGAUCCAUAGAUUUCCGAAUGAGGAAACUCACCAUGAGUAAUGUCAUGGUAUCUUCGAGUGAAUACAUAGCUCGUUGAGGGGAACUCGGGGAACUGAAACAUCUAAGUACCCGAAGGAAGAGAAAGAAAUUCGAUUCCGCUAGUAGCGGCGAGCGAACGCGGAACAGCCCAAACCUAAGAAGUUCGCUUCUUAGGGGUUGCGGACAUAUCAUCAGGAAGAGGUUAUUACAGACGAAGAGUUUUGGAAAGCUCCGCCAUAGAAGGUAACAGCCCUGUAGUCGAAGUGAGAAGACUUCCGAUAUGAUCCAGAGUACCACGGGACACGUGAAACCCCGUGGGAAGCAGGAGGGACCACCCUCCAAGGCUAAAUACUACCCGGUGACCGAUAGCGCAUAGUACCGUGAGGGAAAGGUGAAAAGAACCCCGGGAGGGGAGUGAAAUAGAACCUGAAACCCUGUACUUACAAACUGUGGAAGCACAUUUCUUGUGUGACCGCGUACUUUUUGUAGAACGGGCCAACGAGUUACGUUAUGCAGCAAGGUUAAGUACUUCAAGUAUGCAGCCGCAGCGAAAGCGAGUUUUAACUGAGCGUUUAGUUGCAUGACGUAGACCCGAAACCGGGUGACCUAUCCAUGAGCAGGUUGAAGCGAAAGUAAAAUUUCGUGGAGGACCGAACCCACGAGCGUUGAAAAGCUCGGGGAUGACUUGUGGAUAGCGGUGAAAUUCCAAUCGAACCCGGAGAUAGCUGGUUCUCCCCGAAAUAGCUUUAGGGCUAGCCUCAGAUUCAGAGAUACGGAGGUAGAGCACUGAAUGUCCUAGGGGGUAUUGCACCUACCGAAGACUAUCAAACUCCGAAUGCCGUCAUCUUUUAUCUGGGAGUCAGACCGUGGGUGAUAAGAUUCACGGUCGAGAGGGCAACAGCCCAGACCGUCGGCUAAGGUCCCCAAAUGUAGGUUAAGUGGUAAAGGAUGUGGGAUUGCACAGACAACCAGGAUGUUGGCUUAGAAGCAGCCACUCAUUCAAAGAGUGCGUAAUAGCUCACUGGUCGAGUGAUCCUGCGCCGAAGAUUUCCGGGGCUAAAACCUACUACCGAAGCCACGGCAUCAUUUAUGAUGGGUAGGGGAGCUUUCUUUACUGGGCAGAAGCAUGACCGUAAGGACAUGUGGACUGUAAAGAAGUGAGAAUGUUGGCAUGAGUAGCGAGAUGUGGGUGAGAAUCCCACAGGCCGUAAACCCAAGGUUUCCAGGGGAAGGUUCGUCCUCCCUGGGUUAGUCGGGACCUAAGCCGAGGCCGAAAGGCGUAGGUGAUGGACAACAGGUUGAAAUUCCUGUACCGCCAAUAAGCGUUUGAGAAAUGGGAUGACACAGUAGGACAGGAUGAGCGUGCUGUUGGUUAUGCACGUCCAAGCACUGAGGCAGUAUCCGGAGGCAAAUCCACGGAUAUAAUGCUGGGGUGUGACGGGGAGCGAAAUUUAGUAGCGAAGCAUCUGCAUUCACACUGUCGAGAAAAGUCUCUAUCGAGUUUAAAGGCGCCCGUACCGCAAACCGACACAGGUGGGUGAGGAGAGUAUCCUAAGGCCAGCGAGAGAACUGUUGUUAAGGAACUCGGCAAAAUGACCCCGUAACUUAGGGAUAAGGGGUGCCAUCGAAAGAUGGCCGCAGAGAAUAGGCCCAAGCGACUGUUUACCAAAAACAUAGGUUUCUGCUAAGUCGCAAGACGAUGUAUAGGAGCUGACGCCUGCCCGGUGCUGGAAGGUUAAGGGGAUCUGUUAGAGCAAUCGAAGCAGUGAACUUAAGCCCCAGUAAACGGCGGCCGUAACUAUAACGGUCCUAAGGUAGCGAAAUUCCUUGUCGGGUAAGUUCCGACCCGCACGAAAGGCGUAACGAUUUGGGCACUGUCUCAACAACAGACUCGGUGAAAUUGUAAUUCCGGUGAAGAUGCCGGAUACCUGCGACAGGACGGAAAGACCCCAUGGAGCUUUACUGUAGCUUGGCAUUGGGUCUUGGUACUACAUGUACAGCAUAGGUGGGAGGCUUUGAUUCCAGGACGCCAGUUUUGGAUGAGCCACCGUUGGGAUACCACCCCUGUAGUACUGGGACUCUAACCAGAGGCCUUGAAUCAGGUCUUGGGACACUGUCAGGCGGGCAGUUUGACUGGGGCGGUCGCCUCCCAAAAGGUAACGGAGGCGCUCAAAGGUUCUCUCAGCACGGUCGGAAAUCGUGCACAGAGUGUAAAGGCAUAAGAGAGCUUGAUUGCAAGACAUACAGGUCGAGCAAGGACGAAAGUCGGACUUAGUGAUCCGGUGGUUCUGAGUGGAAGGGCCAUCGCUCAACGGAUAAAAGCUACCCUGGGGAUAACAGGCUUAUCUCCCCCAAGAGUCCACAUCGACGGGGAGGUUUGGCACCUCGAUGUCGGCUCAUCACAUCCUGGGGCUGUAGUAGGUCCCAAGGGUUGGGCUGUUCGCCCAUUAAAGUGGUACGCGAGCUGGGUUCAGAACGUCGUGAGACAGUUCGGUCCCUAUCCGUCGCAGGCGUAGGAAAUUUGAGAGGAUCUGCCCUUAGUACGAGAGGACCGGGGUGGACGUACCGCUGGUGUACCAGUUGUCUCGCCAGAGGCAUGGCUGGGUAGCUAUGUACGGAACGGAUAAGCGCUGAAAGCAUCUAAGCGCGAAGCCAGCCUCAAGAUAAGAUUUCCCAUUCUUCGGAAGUAAGACCCCAUGAAGACUACGUGGUUGAUAGGUCGGAGGUGGAAGUGCAGUAAUGUAUGUAGCUUACCGAUACUAAUAGGUCGAGGACUUGACCAA
This 2900-nucleotide ribosomal RNA is filed under the name Peptacetobacter hiranonis. RNAcentral's name for it is "[Clostridium] hiranonis 23S ribosomal RNA". It matches the Rfam family "Bacterial large subunit ribosomal RNA". Lineage: Bacteria; Bacillati; Bacillota; Clostridia; Peptostreptococcales; Peptostreptococcaceae. The record is from RNAcentral.